This 466-nucleotide ribosomal RNA is filed under the name uncultured bacterium. RNAcentral's name for it is "partial 16S ribosomal RNA". It matches the Rfam family "Bacterial small subunit ribosomal RNA", at positions 28 to 507 of the family's 1533-position model. The record is from RNAcentral.
GACGAACGCUGGCGGCGUGCUUAACACAUGCAAGUCGAACGGAAAGGCCCUGCUUGCAGGGUACUCGAGUGGCGAACGGGUGAGUAACACGUGGGUGAUCUGCCCUGCACUUCGGGAUAAGCCUGGGAAACUGGGUCUAAUACCGGAUAGGAGCCAUUUUUAGUGUGAUUGUUGGAAAGUUUUUUUCGGUGUAGGAUGAGCUCGCGGCCUAUCAGCUUGUUGGUGGGGUAAUGGCCUACCAAGGCGGCGACGGGUAGCCGGCCUGAGAGGGUGGACGGCCACAGUGGGACUGAGAGACGGCCCAGACUCCGACGGGAGGCAGCAGGGGGGAAGAGUGCACAAUGAGCGCAAGCCUGAUGCUGCGACGCCGCGUGGGGGAUGACGGCCUUAGGGUUGUAAACUCCUUUCGCUAGGGACGAAGCUUUUUGUGACGGUACCUAGAGAAGAAGCACCGGCUAACUACGUG